UCUUGCGAUCGUACUCCCCAGGCGGUCUACUUCACGCGUUAGCUGCGUUACUCAUGGAUUUUACUCCACCAACAACUAGUAGACAUCGUUUAGGGCGUGGACUACCAGGGUAUCUAAUCCGCUUCGCUACCCACGCUUUCGUGCCUCAGCGUCAAUAAAGUCCCAGCAAGCUGCCUUCGCAUUUGGUAUUCCCCAUGAUAUCAACGGAUUUCACCCCUACACCAUGAGUUCUGCUUGCCUCUGACUUAUUCUAGUUAUACCGUUUCAAAUGCGGAUUCCAAGUUGAGCUUGGAGAUUUAACAUCUGACUAAUAUAACCGCCUACGCACCCUUUACGCCCAGUAAAUCCGGAUAAUGCUUGGGGCCUCUGUAUUACCGCUCCUGCUGGCACAGAGUUAGGAGCCCCUUAUUCAUGGAGUAACAUCAAUAAACUUUCUCCUCCAUAAAAGGUGUUUACGUCCCUAAGGACUUCAUCCACCACGCGGCGUCGCUCCGUCAGACUUUCGUCCAUUGCGGAAGAUUCUCGACUGCAGCCUCCCGUAGGAGUAUGGACCGUGUCGCAGUUCCAGUGUGACUGAUCGUCCUCUCAGACCAGUUACGGAUCGUCGCCUUGGUGAGCCGUUACCUCACCAACAAGCUAAUCCGACAUAGGCUUCUCUAAAGGCGCCAGGCCUUGCGGUCCCCGACUUUGCUCUCACGAGAUCAUGCGGUAUUACUCCAAGUUUCCCUGGGCUAUCCCCCACCUAAAGGUAAAUUCCUAUGUAUUCCUCACCCGUCCGCCACUAGAUGUAUUGCUACACCUCGUUCGACUUGCAUGUGUUAGGCAUACCGCCAGCGUUCAAUCUGAGCCAGGAUC
Molecule: ribosomal RNA, 855 nt
Filed under: uncultured bacterium
Lineage: Bacteria
Description: partial 16S ribosomal RNA
Source: RNAcentral